Molecule: ribosomal RNA, 494 nt
Filed under: uncultured bacterium
Lineage: Bacteria
Description: partial 16S ribosomal RNA
Rfam family: Bacterial small subunit ribosomal RNA
Source: RNAcentral
GACGAACGCUGGCGGCGUGCUUAACACAUGCAAGUCGAACGGUGAAGCGCCUUCCUUUUUGGUGGGUGUGGAUGAGUGGCGAACGGGUGAGUAACACGUGAGUAACCUGCCCCCUUCUUCUGGAUAACCGCAUGAAAGUGUGGCUAAUACGGGAUAUUCUGGGUCUGUCGCAUGAUGGGUCUGGGAAAGAUAUUGUUUCGGUGGGGGAUGGGCUCGCGGCCUAUCAGCUUGUUGGUGGGGUGAUGGCCUACCAAGGCGGUGACGGGUAGCCGGCCUGAGAGGGUGGACGGUCACACUGGGACUGAGACACGGCCCAGACUCCGACGGGAGGCAGCAGUGGGGAAUAUUGCACAAUGGGCGAAAGCCUGAUGCAGCGACGCCGCGUGAGGGAUGGAGGCCUGCGGGUUGUGAACCUCUUUCGCCAGUGAAGCAGGCCUGCCUCGUUUGUGGGUGGGUUGACGGUAGCUGGAUAAGAAGCGCCGGCUAACUACGUG